Molecule: transfer RNA, 73 nt
Filed under: Winogradskyella echinorum
Lineage: Bacteria; Pseudomonadati; Bacteroidota; Flavobacteriia; Flavobacteriales; Flavobacteriaceae
Description: tRNA-Asp
Rfam family: tRNA
About the family: Transfer RNA (tRNA) molecules are approximately 80 nucleotides in length. Their secondary structure includes four short double-helical elements and three loops (D, anti-codon, and T loops). Further hydrogen bonds mediate the characteristic L-shaped molecular structure. tRNAs have two regions of fundamental functional importance: the anti-codon, which is responsible for specific mRNA codon recognition, and the 3' end, to which the tRNAs corresponding amino acid is attached (by aminoacyl-tRNA synthetases). tRNAs cope with the degeneracy of the genetic code in two manners: having more than one tRNA (with a specific anti-codon) for a particular amino acid; and 'wobble' base-pairing, i.e. permitting non-standard base-pairing at the 3rd anti-codon position.
Source: RNAcentral
AGUAUCGUAGCUCAAUGGCUAGAGUGCUCGGUUGUCUCCCGAGAAGUUGCGAGUUCGAAUCUCGUCGGUACUG